UCUCUUCCUCCUAGCAUAGCCUCUAAACCAGCAGGAACUCUUGUAUCUGCUUAUGACAAGCUUUACUAUGUUGCACUUCCAGGGUCCUCACCAUCAAUUAAGGAGCCCUCCUUCGAGAGAUAUGAUCCUGAUGAAGACGUUUGGGAGCGAAUGACUUCUUUUCCAUUUUAUCAUGACUGUGGAAGCCGUAUGAAAAUAAUUGGUUAUGCCGUUUGUUAUGGAGUCAUUUUAUUUUCAUUGUCGGACUCCUACAUGAAUCCAUAUGUCGUUGCUUUCCAUGAGAGUAGAAACCAAUGGAAUCAAGUGACUUCUGCUUCUUAUGCUUCUUUCCGAGGGAGGGCCGUGGUUGUAGGCGACACUAUCUAUGCCUUACAUGCGCUUAUAGAGGAGGUGAUUAUAACAUUCUCAUUAAGGAUGGACAAAGGUGAAGACGGUGGCAUUGCAUAUUCCCUAAGCCCACUGUUUGUAUUGCGUGGCCUGAAGAUUGCAUGUCCGCCAGUGCGAUUUAAUAAGCUUAAGACAGGGUAUUUGGUUCAUUUGGGUAACAGAGACUUCUUUCAUGUCAAGUCUGGCAGUCCCAAUGAAGAAGCACUUCCCGUGGUUCAAUAUCUUUGUAUCACAACGUUUCAAAUUGUUGAUGGAGAAGGAGGAAAACCUAUGAUCAAAACCAUACAUUCAACUGUUCAUCCUGUGGAUAUCAAGGGCCGUGAUUGGUUCUCACUUGAAUUCUGCUUCACGCCGUAAGUUUUCUUCACGUUUAUUGUGCUUUCAUCAAUAAAGUGACAUGUGUACGUUGGAAUUAUUUUACAUUUUAUUUGUAAUAAGGUUUCUGAUUAUUAUGACUCAGUGAGUUUGGGGAUUAUGAACCCAUAGAAGUGGAGAGUGUGACUAGUAUGAAUCAG
This 902-nucleotide long non-coding RNA is filed under the name Prunus dulcis (almond). RNAcentral describes it as "sRNA ncRNA". Lineage: Eukaryota; Viridiplantae; Streptophyta; Magnoliopsida; Rosales; Rosaceae. The record is from RNAcentral.